CUCGCCAAAUCUGGAAAUGCGUAGUUGUUCUGCCCCAGAGCCCAGCGAAAGUGACACUGCAACGAGGGGGAUCCCCGGCUGCGUGGGCAUCUGCUUCAGCGAUAGACCCAGAUGUUAGUCGAGUCACGUCCCACCGCCCUCUGCCCUCGAAAUGCUGCCAAGUACGCGGGCCCGCGAUUGUCACGUGACGCCGGGGUUCAGCGUAUCCUCGCCGGGCAACCGUCUUAGAGACCAGCAUCUCUGGCUGCAACAUGAAUGUGAUCUAUCCACUGGCGGUCCCCAAGGGGCGCAGGCUCUGCUGUGAGGUGUGCGAAGCCCCAGCUGAGCGGGUGUGCGCGGCCUGCACAGUCACUUAUUACUGUGGGGUGGUACAUCAGAAAGCUGACUGGGACAGCAUCCAUGAGAAAAUAUGUCAGCUCUUGAUUCCACUGCGCACUUCUAUGCCCUUCUACAAUUCAGAGGAAGAACGGCAGCAUGGCCUGCAGCAGCUGCAGCAGCGGCAGCUCUGGAGGCUGGGAAGUCCAAGAUCAAGGGGUCAGCAGGUUUGGUUUCUUCUGAGGCCUCUCUUCCUGGCUUGCAGAUGGCUGCCUUCCUGCGGUAUCUUCACGUGGUCCUUUGUGUGCAAGCAUCCCUGGUAUCUCUUUAAGUAUUUGAUUGAAUUCUGCUACACCGUAGCCCAGAAAUACCUCUUUGAAGGGAAACACGAAGAUGCUGUACCAGCAGCUUUGCAUUCCCUUCGCUUCCGCGUGAACCUGUAUGGCCUGAGCUCUGUAGAGCUUGUGCCUGCUUACCUGCUGUUGGCUGAGGCCAGCCUUGGUCUGGGCCGAAUCGUCCAGGCUGAAGAAUAUCUAUUCCAAGCCCAGUGGACAGUCCUCAAAUCAACUGACUGUAGUAAUGCCACCCACUCUUUACUGCAUCGGAACCUGGGACUUCUCUAUAUAGCUAAGAAAAACUAUGAAGAAGCCCGUUAUCAUCUGGCCAAUGAUGAACUACCAAACUGUUUCCACAGAGGCUGCACCCUUUUACAUUCCCACUGGCAAUGUAUUUAUUUUGCCAGUUGUGCAUUUGGAACAGAGGACAUUAGGACUUCAGGAGGCUACUUCCACCUGGCUAAUAUAUUCUAUGACCUUAAAAAGUUGGACCUGGCAGACACAUUGUACACCAAGGUCUCUGAGAUCUGGCACGCAUAUUUGAACAAUCACUAUCAAGUCCUCUCACAGGCUCACACCCAACAAGUGGAUUUACUGGGCAAACUAUUUGAGAAUGACACUGGCUUGGAUGAAGCCCAGGAAGCAGAAGCCAUUCGCAUCCUGACUUCAAUCUUGAACAUUCGAGAAUCUACAUCUGACAAAGCCCCUCAAAAAACUAUCUUUGUUCUGAAGAUCCUGGUCAUGCUUUACUACCUGAUGAUGAAUUCUUCAAAGGCACAGGAAUAUGGCAUGAGGGCCCUCAGUCUAGCCAAAGAACAACAGCUUGAUGUCCAUGAGCAAAGCGCCAUUCAAGAGUUAUUAAGUCUCAUUUCAACUGAAGACCGUCGCAUUACUUAGUGACCCAUGAGCUCUGCAUCAAGGGUUAUUCCAGGAGCUACGGAACGUCUAAUAUAUUCCAGCCCUGCACAACUGCUUUGAGUUCCUUUCCAGACUUGCCAAGCAGCAUUUUGCUUCGUGAGUAGAUCUGCACCCAGGGAGAAGAUAUGCAGGUCAAGAACCUGUCAGAGAGUUUUAUGUUCCUCACUGUAAAUUAAUUCACUCAGACACAUAUAAUAAAAAUAAGUCAGAUGGGUCACCCUGUCCCUUCAGGUAAAAUCAGCUGGAACCCCGCCCCCCACCCUUCCAUACUUCUGGGCAUUCUUAUGCUUCUCCAAGAUGGCUAUGAAGUCCCAGGGGCUUACUUGUCUUUCAGCCAUCUCUUGAUCUAAUUUUCAGCCUCAGAUGAAUUCUCAUUCUCCAGUCAACAUUGUGUAGCACUUUAUUCUUCUCUUUAAGGACAGAGCCCCUUCUUCUUAGCUCUUAACACAUAACCCCAAAUAUGAGUCAGCUCUUUCAAAUAGACUCUUAAUGAAGACUGGAGGAGUAAGGAGGAGGAUCAACAACUCUUCAGCAGACAAUUUAAAAGAAAAUAUUAGAACUUACCUCUUCUAAAAACAUUCUAAAAAGUCAAUUUUAUUAGACUUUCACUCUAUUCCUUAUUCCUUGGCCUCUUUCUGCCUUCUCACUCCUGUCUUAUCUAUUCUCCUGAAUUCCUGUUCAUUAACCCUUCUGCAUUGAAUAAAUUUAUAAAGUUAUUGUUUAAAUUUAUUGUUUCUUUUUUAAAAUUUUUAUUU
RNA transcript from Cercocebus atys (sooty mangabey), 2323 nucleotides. It is a transcript of the gene named zinc finger, MYND-type containing 12, with no coding region annotated. The transcript is spliced from 12 exons. The record is from RefSeq and is a predicted model, not a curated record. NCBI's taxonomy places the organism in Eukaryota, Metazoa, Chordata, Mammalia, Primates, Cercopithecidae.